UACGAAGGGUGCAAGCGUUACUCGGAAUUACUGGGCGUAAAGCGUGCGUAGGUGGUGAGUUAAGUCUGUCGUGAAAGCCCCGGGCUCAACCUGGGAAUGGCGAUGGAUACUGGCUCGCUAGAGUGCGGUAGAGGAGAGUGGAAUUCCCGGUGUAGCAGUGAAAUGCGUAGAGAUCGGGAGGAACAUCAGUUGCGAAGGCGGCUCUCUGGACCAGCACUGACACUGAGGCACGAAAAGCGUGGGGGAGCAAACAGG
This 255-nucleotide ribosomal RNA is filed under the name uncultured bacterium. Its description in RNAcentral is "partial 16S ribosomal RNA". It matches the Rfam family "Bacterial small subunit ribosomal RNA", at positions 524 to 776 of the family's 1533-position model. The record is from RNAcentral.